Molecule: non-coding RNA, 105 nt
Filed under: Klebsiella pneumoniae
Lineage: Bacteria; Pseudomonadati; Pseudomonadota; Gammaproteobacteria; Enterobacterales; Enterobacteriaceae
Also listed under: 1 other name
Source: RNAcentral
CAGUUUUGGUGACUGCGCUCCCUUUAAGCCAGUUACCUCGGUUCAUAGAGCGCCAACUCUACUGAACCUUUCGAAAAAACCGCCCGCCAAGGCGGUUUUUUUCGU